GAUGAACGCUGGCGGCGUGCCUAAUACAUGCAAGUCGAGCGAACAGACGAGGAGCUUGCUCCUCUGACGUUAGCGGCGGACGGGUGAGUAACACGUGGAUAACCUACCUAUAAGACUGGGAUAACUUCGGGAAACCGGAGCUAAUACCGGAUCAUAUAUUGAACCGCAUGGUUCAAUAGUUAUAGACGGCUUUGCUGUCACUUAUAGAUGGUUCCGCGCUGCAUUAGCUAGUUGGUAAGGUAACGGCUUACCAAGGCAACGAUGCGUAGCCGACCUGAGAGGGUGAUCGGCCACACUGGAACUGAGACACGGUCCAGACUCCUACGGGAGGCAGCAGUAGGGAAUCUUCCGCAAUGGGCGAAAGCCUGACGGAGCAACGCCGCGUGAGUGAUGAAGGUCUUCGGAUCGUAAAACUCUGUUAUUAGGGAAGAACAAAUGUGUAAGUAACUAUGCACGUCUUGACGGUACCUAAUCAGAAAGCCACGGCUAACUACGUG
This 497-nucleotide ribosomal RNA is filed under the name uncultured bacterium. Its description in RNAcentral is "partial 16S ribosomal RNA". It matches the Rfam family "Bacterial small subunit ribosomal RNA", at positions 28 to 507 of the family's 1533-position model. The record is from RNAcentral.